GGGAAACUGGAAGAGCUCUCCCUCACACCGCAGGUCCAGCCCCCCACUCCCCCAUAAUCUAGAGGAGGAAAGCAGAGGCAGGAGAAACCCUGGCUUCCAUUCUCCUUUCCUGGGAGAAAAGAGGGAAUGAUCUCAUGUUGUAUUUAAACGGGCCCCAAGAUACCUUACCUUGCCCAGCCACUAGGGGGAAAGGUCCCUACGCCAAAGAUGCCCAAAGUGGCGAUUGCUAAAUUAUGACCUUCUGCCUCCUAUGCACAAACACACAAUGAAAUUGUUGUUGGGAGAAAGGGAUAACAGGCAAGUAGGAAUAUCCUUUCCCCUCAGAAAAUCCCCGAAGAGCUCAAUUUAUGGGGUAAGUUGGGAGGAGCGGAGAAUGUAUCCUUUACUGAUCCCUCUAUUCCUCUAAAGUAAAGGUGAGUAGGCCAGAAGAGAAUUGCUACCUUUUCCAUUCAUGGUUUAUGGGCUAGCUUCUCUAGCUUAAGACCCAUUUCCCUAGAGCAAGUGUGUGUUGGGGGGUGGGGGGUUGAGGGGAACUAGGAGUCUACUUGCUUCCAUUCCUUAAAUCCAUUUGAAGGGAAGAAAAUAAGGCAUAAAAAGGUAGUAAUGGGCAUUACAGACCUUAGAAUAGCCAAAUCUAAACAGCUAUCCAAAUCUUCCAGUGCACUGCUUCACCCCCCCCCAACCCCCCCUCCUAAUUUCCCUCAUUCUGGGGUUUGGAAAGGAAGUAGAAAGAAGAUACAAUCCAGGAGGUUCUCAUGACUGCCGAGCAGACUAGGUGAGGUGCCGGUGGGUUCAUGUGGUUUAGGGGGAUGUUGGUGCCAUCUGAGUUUAAAGAGAAAAAGGGGAUUGGGAGGUAGGGAGACCAGGAACCCAGGUCUCCAGUUCUGCGUAGAAGAGAAAGGGAAGAGCUGGGAGAGCAGGAUUCUGGGAACUGGAGAGCUUAACUGCAGAGGGGGUAAGGGUGGUCUGAAUACACAUUCCCCCUUUCUCUCCCUUCUCUUACAGCCCCAGGGUUUGGGAACAGGCAACAGGGAUCCCAAGGGGGAAAGCUAGGUUUAGGUUACCCCAGAUUCCAGGGUCUCAAAGAAGCCCUUCCGGCUAUAACAAAGACAAGAGAGAAGCAGUCAAGACAAGGCAUAUCUCAAAGAGCCUCCCCCCCCCAACUCCCCUCCCCAACAACCACCACCACCAAAACAAACAACAACAAACAGGUUCUGUUCUAAGGAAGUGCUUUGUGACUGAAUCUGAGCAAGAGGCAUCCAGAAGGGGGGGGGGGGGGAGCAGGAACAGGGUUUCUCUGGGGAAGCCAAGCCAGCUAUUAGAAGAGGGAAGGGAGCCCCACAACACUGGAGAUUAGAUUGAAGGAAGGGGGUGAUGAUGAUUCUUUUCUACUUUGGGGUGGGAGCUCCUAAAUAGACCAGCGAGGCCAGACACAUAGAAGGGCCAACCUGAAUUUCUUCUAAGGAGGGGAGGGGGAGAGAUACGUUAAAGCACACUCAUACCCUCACUCUACAACCCUCAUUUUAGGGGAUUGGUCAUAUCCUCCCCUACUGAAGCAUUCAUUGAAAGAAAUCAUUGGGGGAAGGCAAUUGCUAUUUGCAUAAUUGGGGGGGGGCUCUGAUUAGCUCGAUUCUUCCCUCUCUACAGAGCAGUUCCCGAAACUGUCUACCCCCGCGCCACCCCCCCCCCAUCAUACACACACCCGCCUGCUGGAGAUCCAAUGCAAACUCCUCACAUUUAAGCAUUCCCCACACCCUGAAAUAAGGAAAAGAGGGGCGGGUAACUUCGGGGAGCUCAGAUUUGAUCUCCAAAUCCGCUCAGUUCCCGCCAGGGGCUCAGCUCUAGCUUUGGGGGCACAACCGCCCCCCUCCCCACCCCGCACAUCUUGUUCUCAUUCUCAGCCCCUGACAUCAGCCGCCGCCGGAAUCUCCUUGUUGUGCCUCCAGCCCGCUGCGGGGGAGUAAGGGGUGGGGGAUAGGUGGGGGGGCUUAGAAACAUCCCCUCCCCAAUUACAGCUCCUGUUUGGUCAGGAAAACCUCAGCGCCAGGGUCGAAGUGGGGAGGGCGGACCCCAGAUCCUGUAGCAAACUUUGAAGUGGGGGAGAUGGCAAGAAAGGAACCGCAGAUUACAGCUCCCCCUCCCCCAUUUACUGCUUCUCUGCUUGCCCCCCCCCUCCAAUUUAGGAAAGCAAAUCCAGCCCCUAUCGGCCAGGGAAAUCAAUAGCUUCUGCAUCUCCUCACAUCUGGAGGGCAACGAUCCUCCUCUCCCCUCCCCACAUCUGGAGAGCAUCCAGCUGCGGAAUGGUCGGCGCACGUUCCUCCCUCCCCCUCCCCCUCCUCAAGUCUCCCCUUUUCUAGCAGUACAGCUCCGAUUUUCACCCCACUAGAAGGGUUGAGAUGGUGAUGGCUGUCUCUCCUUUGGAGUCCUGGCCUUACCUGGCUCUCCCCUCCCCCCUUACUCUAACAGCACCCCCCCCUAAUCAGUUCCCUCUUCCCUCCAGUCUCACCUGUCUUCCCUUCACCUGUGAUUCAUUCCCCCCCAGCUGUUCCCCUCCAUGCUUACUUACCUGUCCCCCACCAACCCACCCAUUUCCCCACUGCGGUCCCCCGAAGGAUAUGGGUUACAGACCAGACGGAGGCACCAGCUCCUGGGGCGACUCUCCUGGCUCAGGUAGAAGAAAACCACCGGGGCGAGCGCAGGAUAGGGCAGUCCCUCCGGCUCCGAGUCGGUACUGCCUGGGUCUUUGUCCCCGGGCCCCAGCCCCGGCCCCGGCCCCGGCCCGGGUCCCGACAGGCCCCCAGCUCCCGACAGGUCGUUGAGCCGCACCAAGGUCUUGGGCUGCCCGAACUCUUCGGCAUUGGCUCCAUCUUCCUCUUCGUCCAUCCUCCCGCCAGCCUGAGUCCCAGGUCUGGAGCGGGGCAAGCGGUACCCCCUGCGGGGGGGGGGUGUCCUCACAGAACCGGAGGACCCCUGGGAGGACGCAUCCGGGAGGCUCUAGGGCGGAGGCUGUGCCCCCGGGCCGGCCAGUUCAGCCCAAUUCUCGCCGCCCCCAGGGGCAUGCUGCCCACCGGGGGCCCUGAAUCCUCGGUCGCGCUCCUGGCCCGCGGCGGGCUCCUUCGGGCCGGGUUCCCGCUUCCCCUGGGCCUUGGCUUCCCCCCCUUCUCUCCCCCCCCCCCCCUGCCGGCUCCUCCUCACUUUGUUCAGGCUUCUUUGCUUCGCGUUCAGGUGCUGGGCUCCCGACUCCGCGACCACCUCACUGCAGCAGUAGGGAAUGUGGAAGAGCCAGGGAAGACUGCCUAUGGGCUGGGGGCCACGGUAGGGGGGUGCCCCGUCUUCCCUGGAGCAAAGAGGGCAGAAUCUAAACAGUCAGCAUCGCCCCGGCGGGUUGCCAGUUGUGGUGUCGGUAGGGGAAAGGGAAGAAGGACUCUCCUGGGGUUGGGGGGAUUUGGGGGGGAACAAGGAGAAGCUCCUUUCUCCUCCCCCCCACAAGCUUAGCAGUCCGGGUAGGGCGGAGAGAUAGUGGGGGGCCGUUCUGGGCAGGGCCGGGGGCGGAGAUGCGGCUGCUGCAGCUAUCGCUGCCGCUGCCGUUGCUGUCGCUGCCUUUGCAGUUGCAGUUGCAGUUGCCGGCGCCACUGCCUCCUCCUCGGACCAGAGACUGGAGCGAAAGCUUCGAGCCCAGCGCACAACACAGCUGGAUCCCUCACUCCAACUUCAAGCCCCGGGCCCCGCCCCUCCGGAGCCAGCCUCUCAGUCAAUCCAGGCGUGCCGCCGGCCUCACGCCGUCCUCUUAUUGGUUGAAAGGCGCAGGAGGCGGGGAAGGGGGUGGAUAAAGAACCACAGCUGGAAUCCGGUUCCAACCCGGACGCCUGGGACCGCCCUUUUUUCCUUCCCCCCACCCCCCAGCCCCUCUGGAAUGUGAGAAACCAAUCAUAGUGCCACAGUGGUCGAACCCCUUUUCCUAUUGGCUACUAGGGUCUCGAGGACUCCCUUGCUGGGCGCCUCUAGGAAAUUUGGGGGCUUGCCUUGGGGUCUACUGCCCCUUUGAUUUUGGACCCUUCAAGCCUUCUGUGGCUCCUUGUCCCUGGCUUCUCCGCCUCCCGUAUUGAAUUGGGCUAGGGAAAGAAAUGCAGCCUAAGAAAUGAGCCGGGGAGAUUCAGGAUUUAGAUCCAUUCGGAGGUGGGGGUGGAGAGCGGAGCUCUGUCUUCCCCAAGGGAAGGGGCGGCCCACAGGGAGGGCAAGGAGGCCCAAUACGAAAACCUGGGUCUUUUUUAAAAGUGGCAACCCCAAGACCUGGUUUCUCCGAGCUGGAGGAUGGAGAGGCAGGAUACUUAGGUGGGGCCUAGCGCAAGAGGAAGGACUUGGGGCGGGGCCUAGAUUGACCAAGACUGACCUAGGCAGUCCCAAGGCUUGAGGGCGGGGCUGAGAUUGGAGAAGGGUAUGUGGUUUGGGGGUUUCGGGGAUGGGGGUAGAGAAAGGAAAAACAGCCAGGUGAGGAUCGGUGAGGUGGGCGUUGUCUCCUCCGUCCUCCUAGGGCACGACCCCAGCCCCUAUGUAUCUGCCCAUAAACAUGACCCGGUGUCCUCUCCUCCAAUCCUAUACUCUGACCGAGGAAGAAGCUGCUUCUGAGUCCUCUGUUCUGCUACAUCCCGCCGCGCUGGCCAAAGAGGGUGACAGGGCUUGUCUUGGCGUGUGAGGGGGCCUUAUUUUAUAAAGCUGAUGCUUUUUCUGCUAGGAGUGGAGCACUAACCCUAGUCUGAAGAAUUCAGCACCCGGGAGAUAAAGAUUGAGGCCUUCUUGGUUCCCUGGGGAGUAAGAUAUGCGACUUCCGAGGCAGGGGACUGUAGGGUGUUUGCUAGUGAUGACCGUGUGUAGAGCAAGGAGAAAACUGGAGAAGCCUGGAGUCCAGGCCAGUUUCUGUAAGUAAGGUAGUAGUAUCCUUCCAACACCAGCCCCCUUUCUCCCUCUCAGGAACUGGGAAAGUCCGAAGGGUGGGAAUGAAAAGGGGGUUACGGGAGAGAGGAGCCAGAGAAGUGGGCCAAGAUUGGACAGUUCUUGGUUCUCCCCUCAAGAGAAGCCCGAGAGAAGUUGGCUCAGGGUAACAAAAUGGAGCUGAGUCUGCCCAAUCGAGAGUCCGAAUGUUGCUGACUCCAUCUCAGCCACGCUCUCAAAUGAGGUGCCCUUCUUUUUCUCCAACCUUACACCCGGCCGUGGCGACCCGUAGCGGGAAGCUGAUAUCUAGGUCCCAUCACAGGGGGAAGGGCAAGUGAAAGUCCUCUUUCUCGGCUACCUCAGUUUCUUGCCCGCUCCUCUUCUCCGGCCUCUUUACCCUGUUGCUCCCCCUACAGUCCAUUGUACUCCAGCCCCCUCCCGCAGGAAGCUGUCGGGACUACGGAGAAAAAUGCGUUACGAUUGCAGUGUGUUGGAAAUUAAGGGUUAGACACUAGGAAGCACUUCCUGAACGUCAUGGGGAGGAAAAGGCAUCGGAGAGGAGUCGGAUCAUUUCCCGAGCGGCGCCUGAGAAAAAGGCACUGUCCGGAGGCAGAGGAAUGGAGCGGUUGACCUCAGGCGUCCCCUGGGUCUCUCCUGUUUUUCCGACUGAAUGGAACAGCUCUACGGAGAAAGAUAGACAGACAUCCCCAUCCCUCACUCAGGGUCGAGUCGGGGAGAAGGUUUCAGCUCCCGCAAAGGGUGGGGUUGGGGGGGGUGGGAAGGGAGCUGAGCUGAGGGCUGGGCGAUUGCGCCGUCGGCUCCCCAGUUGCCCUUCCGCAGAAAUCGAGCUCCACAGAAGUAUGCAAACGAGGACGGACUCAUUUAAACUUAAUGCUAAUGAGCAGCUCCCCAGUCUCUCCCUCUCCCUCUCCGAGGCAGAGAGAGAGCAGCUGCUCAGCUUGCCGAGGGCCCGAGAGUCUCAAACUCAACCCAGCGCCGGGGGUGGGCGGAGGAUGUCAUCUUUUAUGGGGAUGAUUAUUUCUGAUUUAGGAGACGAGGCUGACACCUUUCCUUUUAGAGCAGCGGCGCCCGGGGGGGAGGGGAACUUCGGCCGCUAGCUUCCUCCUUCCCUCCCUCCUUUCCUUUUCUUUUCCGUCUCUUUUUGCCUCCCUCCUUUCCUCCUGCAGCGGUCGUCGCUCUCGCCUUGCGCACCGAUUCUCAGCAGCUCCCUCUGAUGAGGAAACUGAGACCUCGAAAGGCUCUGAUUUGCUCCAGGACACACAGCGAGGAGAGGCAUUCUUCAAUUCCUUAUGGAGAGUGCAGAUAGGGACCUUUAGGAGCUCCAAGUCCAAAAGAGAUCGAGUUUUAUGGGAAUUUCUAGUCACCACCCCGUUUCUUCUUCCUCCUCCUCAGAAUUGUCCUUGUUGCAGGCACAGUUCGCUGCUAAUAAAUAUCCCUAACAUAAAUCUGGAAGGAAAAA
Molecule: non-coding RNA, 6409 nt
Organism: Monodelphis domestica (gray short-tailed opossum)
Lineage: Eukaryota; Metazoa; Chordata; Mammalia; Didelphimorphia; Didelphidae
Source: RefSeq, a predicted model, not a curated record